AGCUUUAUAUUCAUUAUGUUGAUAAUGGAAUGCAAUUCCAUAGGGGUAAUAACUAAGUAGUUACUAAGGCUU
This 72-nucleotide transfer RNA is filed under the name Anallacta methanoides. RNAcentral's name for it is "tRNA-Cys". Lineage: Eukaryota; Metazoa; Arthropoda; Insecta; Blattodea; Blattellidae. The record is from RNAcentral.